GACAGAGGAUGCAAGCGUUAUCCGGAAUGAUUGGGCGUAAAGCGUCUGUAGGUGGCUUUUCAAGUCCUCCGUCAAAUCCCAGGGCUCAACCCUGGACAGGCGGUGGAAACUACCAAGCUUGAGUGCGGUAGGGGCAGAGGGAAUUUCCGGAGUAGGGGUGAAAUGCGUAGAGAUUGGGAAGAACACCAACGGCGAAAGCACUCUGCUGGGCCGACACUGACACUGAGAGACGAAAGCUAGGGGAGCAAAUGGG
Molecule: ribosomal RNA, 253 nt
Filed under: uncultured bacterium
Lineage: Bacteria
Description: partial 16S ribosomal RNA
Rfam family: Bacterial small subunit ribosomal RNA
Source: RNAcentral